AUUUCCUGCCCCUGGCGCAGGGGUCUGGACUCGAGGAUCUUCCGAGGUCCCUUCCAGCCCUGGUGUCUAUGAAGACGUGGGGCCACGCGAGUGACGGGGUGGGGGGCCCCUUGCCUGGGGAAGGCAGCCGUGCCGGCAAAAGGGACGCCUGGGAAGGACCGGAUUGCUCUUAGCAUCCUUGUGUUCAAAGGACUCCUUUGCAGCUGAGAAGAGUAGAUACCUUCCCCCUCUGUGACCAGCCAAAUUCUUCCUCCUCACUCAGAAGUACAUCUGCAGCCAGGGCACUAGCCUGGGCCCCAGCUUCACAGCUGUCUGGAAGACUCACCUAAAUCUCACUUUACAAUUUCAGCUUUACAACACUUGAUCGGACGCCAGGCCACGCCAGCGAACAAGUUCACUGCAU
Alligator sinensis (Chinese alligator) is the source of this 403-nucleotide long non-coding RNA. RefSeq lists it as uncharacterized. NCBI's taxonomy places the organism in Eukaryota, Metazoa, Chordata, Crocodylia, Alligatoridae. The transcript is spliced from 3 exons. The record is from RefSeq and is a predicted model, not a curated record.